GACAUCAGGAGGCCACAGUGAUGGACCGGUUCCAUGACUAAAGGGGCGGGGGGACCAAGUUGUGAACAAGAGAGGAAAGGAAGGAAGAUACCAAAAAAGUACAGGUGAUAAGGACAGAGCUCUUCAGUGUACCAUUGAAUAUUAAUUGAGGAACCCAACAGUGACAUAUUUACCUAACAAGUCUUCAGAUCAGUGCAAGAUCUGGGGCUGAAUUCUCAGCAUCGUGCUGUAGAACAGCGUGGAUUGUGGUCCAGGACUCAUCUGACAAAGUUGGAUGAGAAGGACAAGCAUUGACACAAUGGACACAACUGGGCAGAACUAUAAUGCAGAACGAGAAGGUGGAAUGGGUGAGCAAUCAAUGAGGAAAUUUCACUUUGAAUAUUACGUUAUAGAAAGAUGCUCGAAACACGGACUGAGAGUUUCAUUACAUUUUCUGAACAGGAUAAAUAAAACAAAAGUGAUUUGAGACAACUACACAGGGACUCAAAAAUUCCUUCUUUAUCUACUCCAGUAUACUGGGAUGAAAUUUUACAGCAUCACGUUUGUGUAUGAAGGAAAUCUUAUGUAAGUUAAUGAAGUUCUUUGAUGCAAAACCUAAUAUUUUACCUUACUGUCCCUACUGAUAGUGAAUACUUGAUAAUUCCUAAUGAUACUCUCUUCAUAACUUGGGAGCAAUCUGUUCAUUUCACAUCUGAAAACAGUUCAGUAAUGUAAUUUCUCUAUAAAAUGCUGCUACUAACCAUAUCUAAACUAAUUAGGCACAGUCAGAAGCAGCUCACUGAAUGAGCAGAUUUGGAAUUUGGCACUGUUCCUACUACAUAACUUGAUUGGGACACUAUUACCGAUGCCUUCAUUUCUGGGCCUCUACAGACAGACUUCUAUGCUUUCUCAUCUUUUCUGUCUUAGAUCACUACCACAGGCAUUUGUCACAUCCUGCCCAUAAGGGCAACAGCCUAUUGGUAACUGUUUUGCUGGGCCUCUUUUGUCUUUUGGGGAGUAGAUCUAUGUGAGGAGGACAGCUGCAUGGAUACAGUGUGCUUGGCCAGUCCCAUCUACAAAAUGAUUUUAGUGUCUGCUAACAGUGGUGCCUCCAUACUUUUCCAUAGGGCUGGGCACAGAACAGGUGCUGAAUGACAGCCAUCCCAUGACACAUCCACAACACUUUUUAUUCCUAAAUUGAUUUUUAUUUAGCUCAACAAAAGCUCUUAAAACUUCAGGUCCUAUGUUUUUUACUAGUAAUUAUUAUCCAAAUUUUAGCACAUUUAGCCAAUUUACCACCUAACUUGGGUACACGGGAGCAUGAUCACAAGGAGUUAAAUCCUCAAACUGAAGGAGAUACCAAACAAAUACUAGAAAUAAUAUCAUGGGAUUAAACAAGAGAAUGCUGGAAUACUCUGUCACUUCAGCAGAAACUGAAAAAAAUGUAAUUUGUAUUUUUAUAAGCAUUGUAUGUACCGGUU
Molecule: long non-coding RNA, 1460 nt
Organism: Gallus gallus (chicken)
Lineage: Eukaryota; Metazoa; Chordata; Aves; Galliformes; Phasianidae
Exons: 4
Source: RefSeq, a predicted model, not a curated record